UCAGACGAUGCGUCAUGCAUAUCAAUAAGCGGAGGAAAAGAAACUAACAAGGAUUCCCCUAGUAACGGCGAGUGAAGCGGGAAGAGCUCAAAUUUGAAAUCUUAAAGGGUUUCCCUUUACGAAUUGUAGUUUAAAGAAGUGUUUUCUGUUGAGGUUUUGGUAAAAGUUCUUUGGAAUAGGACAUCAUAGAGGGUGAGAAUCCCGUAUUUGACCUUUACUUUCAACUUUGUGAUACACUUUCAAAGAGUCGGAUUGUUUGGGAAUGCAGUCCAAAAUGGGUGGUAAAUUUCAUCUAAAGCUAAAUAUUGGCGAGAGACCGAUAGCGAACAAGCACCGUGAGGGAAAGAUGAAAAGAACUUUGAAAAGAGAGUUAAACAGUACGUGAAAUUGUCAAAAGGGAAGCGUUUGACACCAGUGUUGUUUUUCUGAAAAUCAAUUAAAGAACUGUUUAUGCUAAGUUGUUUAGACUUUAUCAGCUAACUGUUUAGUUUUGAGCUUUUCUUUAAUGCACUUUUCAGUUAACAAGUCAACAUCAAUUUCUUUUGCUGUAAAAAAGCUUGAGGAAGGUGGCUUGAGAUUCGUCUUAAGUGUUUAUAGCCUCUUGCCUAUGCAGUCGGAGAGAUUGAGGUCUGCAGCGUAGAUCCUUCGGGGCUAAAUGCAUUUGUGCUAAGUUAUAGCAUUUUAUAGACAACUUGUUGACUAUGAUUUGUCUUGUAGCUUACUCGCUUAUGUUAUUUUACCUACGCUUAGGAUGUUGAAUCUGUGCGAGACUAC
Molecule: ribosomal RNA, 774 nt
Filed under: uncultured Neocallimastigales
Lineage: Eukaryota; Fungi; Neocallimastigomycota; Neocallimastigomycetes; Neocallimastigales
Description: partial large subunit ribosomal RNA
Rfam family: Eukaryotic large subunit ribosomal RNA
Source: RNAcentral